RNAcentral lists this ribosomal RNA (400 nucleotides) under uncultured bacterium. RNAcentral's name for it is "bacterial SSU rRNA". It matches the Rfam family "Bacterial small subunit ribosomal RNA", at positions 355 to 772 of the family's 1533-position model. The record is from RNAcentral.
UUAGGAAUAUUGGACAAUGGGGGAAACCCUGAUCCAGCCAUGCCGCGUGUGUGAAGAAGGCCUUAGGGUUGUAAAGCACUUUCAGCUGUGAAGAUAAUGACAGUAGCAGAAGAAGAAGCUCCGGCUAAAUUCGUGCCAGCAGCCGCGGUAAUACGAAUGGAGCGAGCGUUGUUCGGAAUCACUGGGCGUAAAGGGUGCGCAGGCGGUCAUGAAAGUCAGAAGUGAAAUCCCAGGGCUUAACCCUGGAAUGGCUUUUGAAACUCCAUGACUAGAGUAUUGGAGAGGUUGGCGGAAUUCCGAGUGUAGAGGUGAAAUUCGCAGAUAUUCGGAGGAACACCAAUGGCGUAGGCAGCCAACUGGACAAUUACUGACGCUCAUGCACGAAAGCGUGGGGAUCAAA